GGGACGAAGUGGUUGGGCGCUUCGGCGUGUGAAAACGUCCC
This 41-nucleotide unclassified non-coding RNA is filed under the name unclassified sequences. RNAcentral describes it as "Aptamer that binds to GTP". The record is from RNAcentral. RNAcentral also lists the same sequence under 1 other name.